AUGGCGAUCGUGAGGACCGGCGGCGCCAGGGUCCAGCGGCUGGAGUCCGGCGGGGAGGACGGCUCCACGGAGGACGAGGAGGAGCGGUCGCCCGCCACGGCGUCUGAGGAGUCCGAGGCGGAUGGGUUCUCUCCCGAGUUUGCGGAGCGGCGCAAGCACUACUACCAUGUGCAGAGGUACCACAAUUCGAUGGUGCUGGGGCUGUGGGACACCAAGGACUGCUGGAAGAGCUGCAACGGGUACAGCCUUGGUGAGAGGCUCAGAGCUAUGGAUGCAAUGAAGGCACAGCGGAAGCAGAAGGAACUGGGUUUGGUUGCCCGGGCUGGAUCAGAGACUGACUCAGAGAGCAGGGAGUCUGCGGAACAGUUCUUGACACGGUCGAAGCCAGAUAAGAUGGCUCUCAACAAGGCUGGGAAUUUAGGGAAGGAAAGGUCCAAGGGCGUUCUGCGGUUGGGUGUGUCAAAAGCCGUGGGUGAGGAGUACAUUGGAGGGGCUGGUCGUGAUGCUGCAGUGGCUCUCCCUAAGCUUUCUCGUCCAGAUAAUGCUUAUGGGUAUGAUGCCGGAGUCGCGCAUAGAGGGAAGCAGCACAGAAGCAUAGAUGGCCUUCAUUCUGAGGACCUGGGAUAUGACAGGAAUUUGCCCAGGAUCCGGUCUCAGAGACCUCUGAUGAAGCCAGUGAAGAAGGAAUUGGCCACGGGCUAUGAUAUCAAUCCUUAUGGAAACAACUACCAUGAUAGCCAGACUGGUUCUUCUUACUACCAUGGCAGGAAUGCCAUUGGUAAUCAGGGAGUUACCUUAGCAGCAUCAUUUGAGCCUCCAUAUUCUGAGAAUGCAAGGAGUGCAAAAUACUCGGAGAGAGAUCGGAUAUACGGUGGAAAAGCUGCCCAGAAUAAAGCUCCCAAAGUGGAAGCGAGGGAUUGGCCAGCUGGUAGCCAUGCUGAUCUCUUAAGUGACUGGCAGAGAGGGCAGCCUGAAGGCGAUUACAGGAGCAGGAAGCCUCAAGUUGGUCAUGGUGUGAAGGUUAAGUCCUACAAAAGUAUUGAACAGCAGAUAAAUGGUGCACAUUCUGGAUCUGAUCCUAGAGGCAGGAUAUCACAGGUUAAGAUUAAUGUUAAAUCCAAUAGUCAGCAUGGUAGGAUUGGCCAGAAGGACUCCAGGAGCAAAGCUGCCCAUGUUCAGAGUGAGGAGACAGAAUCUGAUUCAUCAGAACGGUUUGAAGAUGGGGCAGAUAUGAAUCUUGUUGAAGAACAGCCAAACCUUCAAUAUUCUGAACUUCAUAUACCAGCAUAUGGUGCCAAAAAGUCAAACAAACUUAGCAAAUCAGUCAAAACAAAUUAUCCUGCCCCUACUGCAGAUUUGGAACCCUACCAGACUCAGAGCAAGCGGUCACACAGAGGAAAGGUUGCAGAGCCUGAUUAUUUACGCGAUGUGCAUGUGGAGGUGGCGGAACAGAUUAGUGAAGUGAUGAGACCCCCAGCAGCAAGUAGUGAAAGAAAGCGCAAGGGAAUUGCAAACCUGGACAUGCAUGGUUAUGACAACUCUGAAUUGCAUGAUAGCAACGAGAAAGCCAAUGAAUCACUGAGGUCACCAGAGAGUGAUAGGCUGGCCAGUAGAGCAGGCUAUGCAGUCCAAGAUUCUAAUGGCGACUUUGAUGUUUCUGAAAGAGCGAACAUGCCGCUCGCAAGUUGCAGCUCUGGCUCCAAAAGGCAAAAAGGAAGAGUUGAACUUACAAGCCUGGAUGAGCAUGGUGAGUAUGCGCCAUCUGGUCCAAAGGUGGUAGAAAUCAGUGGCAGCUCGAAGAAGAAAAGUAAAAAGAAGCCAGAUACUGUUACAGAUGCAAUUACUGUAGCAGAACCAGCUCCUGUCGUGCCGGAGGUUAUUGUGGUGCCAGUAGAACCUGAGAAACCUAAGAAGAAGUAUGUACCAAUUACACCAACCAUCCAUACUGGCUUUUCUUUCUCCAUCGUACAUCUUCUAACCGCUGUUAAGAAGGCUAUGGUUGCUCCGGCUGAGGAUACUCCAGUGGCAGCUACGGUCACUCCUGCUGAGGUUACUCCAGUGGCAGCUACGGUCACUCCUACUGAGGUUACUCCAGUGGCAGCGAAGCAGACUGAUGGGGAGGAGAACAGAAAAUGGUUCAAUAGUGAGGAACCUGGCAAAACGCCUCAAGAGCCAAGUGCAGCAGAGCAAGCACAACCGGGCAAUGAAGUUGGAGAUACCAGUGCUGCAGAGCAGACCGCACAGAGCAAUUCGCCGGCACUAACUGUUCAAGAUCUUGUUAACCGGAUUAAAACUAAUCCUGGAGAUCCCAACAUACUUGAAACACAGGAACCCCUGCAGGAUUUAGUUCGAGGAGUGCUCAAGGUACUGUCAUCUAGAACAGCUCCUCUAGGUGCAAAGGGCUGGAGAGCGCUAGUUGCCUAUGACAAGUCGAACAAAAGCUGGUUCUGGGUUGGUCCACUGCCUUCUGCUACCUCAUAUAGUGAUCCUAAUGAAGAAACUUCUGCUGAGGCAUGGGGUAUACCACACAAGAUGCUUGUGAAGUUGGUCGAUGCAUUUGCUAAUUGGCUGAAAAGUGGUCAGGAAACCCUUAAGCAAAUAGGAUCCCUUCCACCACCUCCAGCACCAAAUCCUGCAAACUUGGAUUUGAAGGAAAGAUUUAAGGACCUUAGGGCCCAGAAGAGUCUGAACACAAUAAGCCCAAGCUCUGAUGAAGCAAGGGCAUAUUUCCAGCGUGAGGAGUUUUUGAGAUACUCAAUUCCUGAUAGAGCAUUUUGCUAUACUGCUGCUGAUGGGGAGAAAUCUAUUGUUGCUCCUUUGCGAAGGGGAGGUGGAAAGCCCACGUCAAAAGCUAGGGGACAUCCCAUGCUCUUGCCUGAUCGCCCUCCGCAUGUCACUAUUCUCUGUCUUGUAAGAGAUGCUGCUUCUAGGUUGCCUGGAAGAACUGGAACAAGAGCUGAUGUUUGCACACUUCUCAAAGAUUCACAGUACCUAAAUCAUGCAGAAUCCAAUAAAGAGGCUGCUGUUAAUCAAGUUGUCAGUGGCGCUCUUGAUCGCUUGCAUUAUGAGCGUGAUCCUUGUGUGCUGUAUGAUAAUGACAAAAAAUUGUGGACCUAUCUGCACAGGGGUAGAGAGGAGGAAGAUUUUGAGGAUGAUGGCACAUCAUCUACGAAAAAGUGGAAGAGACCAAGGAAAGAUUCAGAUCCCGCAGACCCUGGUGCAGGAAACGAUGAUCCUGAGGAUGAUGGCACCCCUAAUGCAAAAAAACAGAAGAAAGCUGAUGCAGACCCUACAGCGUCAGGAGAAGACAAGGAUGGUGUUCAGGAUCCAUCUAACAGCGGGCUGGAAGGUGACCUUGAGCUUGAUGUUGUUCCAUCAUCAACAAAUGACAAAGAAACCAGCAAGCUUGUUUCUACUGAUGCAAGGCCAGAUAUUGGUAGCUCCAGACCUUCAGUAGAUGCAGCAGCAGCAAGGGGGACAGCUGAUGCAAGGCCAGAUAUUGGUAGCUCCAGACCUUCAGUAGAUGCAGCAGCAGCAAGGGGGACAGCUGAUGCAAGGCCAGAUAUUGGUAGCUCCAGACCUUCAGUAGAUGCAGCAGCAGCAAGGGGGACAGCUGAUUGCAAUUCAUCAAGAGCCCCAGAAAAGAAGCACAAUAUGGCACUCCCUGUGCAAUUCACCAGCAGGGAGUUUAAUAAAGGUGCAGACAGAGAGGGGUCAAAAGAGUUCAUGGAUGCAACCCUGUCAUGA
RNAcentral lists this ribosomal RNA (3747 nucleotides) under Triticum aestivum (bread wheat). RNAcentral's name for it is "partial small subunit ribosomal RNA". Lineage: Eukaryota; Viridiplantae; Streptophyta; Magnoliopsida; Poales; Poaceae. The record is from RNAcentral.